RNAcentral lists this ribosomal RNA (409 nucleotides) under Minisyncoccota bacterium. Its description in RNAcentral is "bacterial SSU rRNA". It matches the Rfam family "Bacterial small subunit ribosomal RNA", at positions 1 to 374 of the family's 1533-position model. Lineage: Bacteria; Bacillati; Minisyncoccota. The record is from RNAcentral.
UUUAAGAAGAGUUUGAUCCUAGCUCAGGAUGAACGCUGGCGGCGUGGAUAAGGCAUGCAAGUCGAACGAACCUUGUCCUUUUGAUCGAUAAAGUAACGUGGAGUAGCAAUACAAAACGAAGCGAUAUUUUGAAGAAGGACGCUGGUUAGUGGCAAACGAGGUAGUAACACGUAGAUACGUCCCCCAAAGUCGCGAAUAACUCACCGAAAGGUGUGCUAAUACGCGAUAGUCCCUCCGGGGUAAAGUUUUUCGCUUUGGGAACGGUCUGCGGGAUAUCAGCUAGUUGGUAGGGUAAAAGCCUACCAAGGCUAUGACGUCUAGAGGAGCUGAGAGGCUGACCCUCACCGAUGGGACUGAGACACGGCCCAUACACCUACGGGUGGCUGCAGUCGAGAAUCUUCCACAAUGG